This is a long non-coding RNA of Anguilla anguilla (European eel), 1217 nucleotides long. RefSeq lists it as uncharacterized. The record is from RefSeq and is a predicted model, not a curated record. The transcript is spliced from 5 exons. NCBI's taxonomy places the organism in Eukaryota, Metazoa, Chordata, Actinopteri, Anguilliformes, Anguillidae.
GUCGUCAGAAAACAUUUCUUAUGAUAUAUCUGUCGCAAAAGUGUUGUCUUCAGUUAUCCUACUGAAACUAACGAGUGUCAGGGAAAUGCAGUUUUUUUUGCGGUCAGAAAAAGGUUUGACCUCACAACGAGGAAAUGGAGGAGUUGUGGGACGAGUUGGAUUGAGAACGAACCUGCAACUUGGAUGACGUGUAAUGAUGCAUUUAUACAAACGAUGAUUUCGUUAGGGCUAAAUUGGCCAUAGUUCUCUGUGGAACUGAGAUUUUGCUUUAGCCUGCGUUUAGUUUAGAAUGUGCUUUUAUUUUUUUACGGUAUGGGAAUCAUUGUUAUCCACUUAGUGCUUCCGCCACAACAAAGCCCUGUUUCUGGUCAGUUUCUGUCUGGAGAUGACAUUAUUUAUGAGAAAACUGCAAACUGAGAGAGGCCAGUUGUAGCCUAUCAAUAGGCUCCACUCACGUUGAACAACAGAAACUAUAAACGACUGUUUUUGCGGUCCCUCCGCCUUCCCCCCGUUAUUUCUUCUUUUUUUUAAAAAAACUCUGCUUGUGCCUAUAUGACCGCAUCCAUUUUGUGUCGUCUUGGGAGCUAAACCAGCGCCUCUUGAGUGACGUGUGGACAGGACUGGCGUGGAGCGGCCAGCUUCCUGUGGCUGGGGACAAGCUUUCUCCGGAUGGCUCAUAGCAACCUGCAACACAAGCCCGGCGAGCAGCAAUGCACUGAUGAUUAAUGUUGGGCAGGUUGGUAUUUCCAGAAGCAAUUCGGGUUCAGGUGGACUGCAUGGUGUCCUGGAAACGUAUCCAGACGCAGCAAGCGGCACCGAUCGUCAUCCUGGACUCCUGCUGCACAGCAGCCCCAGUGAGAAGCUUCCAGAAACAGAGGUGCACAGCCACCAAGCCGUCCCCUUCCCCAGGGCUGUGUUCAAGUGGCGUUUCAUAACCUGGAACGGCGUUGUGCUGAACAUUCAACUCUGUUACUUAUUCUGCUAAUAGAGCCGCUCUGUGCAGCCCAAAGACAGCGACUUGUCCCUCUCCCUGGGCAAUGCAGGGUCUGGGACGAGUGGAAAUGAACCUACUCACACGAAGAACUGCUCACGAACGGGAAGUCUUUUUUUAGGCUGGGGACGCUCAAUGCCUCUGCUCUAGUUGAUUCACUGCUCCAGAAUUCAGCUUGGACAACUGCUAAGAUUGGCUGGUGACCAAACUUUACAUUGAAAACUUG